GGCUCUCCGUCACUUAGUAAAUGGAGAGUCGAACCUGCCCAGUGAAAUUUUUUAACGGCCGCGGUACUCUGACCGUGCAAAGGUAGCAUAAUCACUUGCCUUAUAAUUGAAGGCUAGUAUGAAUGGUUUGACGAGGGCAUAGCUGUCUCUCUCUUAAUAACUAAAACUUGACCUGCAGGUGAAGAGGCCUGCAAUGAACUGGAGGACGAGAAGACCCUGUCGAGCUUUAAAAGAGAAGUAGGCAAUAAUAUUCUUAUAGAUCUACAGCUAUUUCUAUUUUUUGGCUGGGGCGACCAAGGAACACAAAAAGCUUCCUCUAUUUAACAAACAAAUCUGUAGUUGAUCCAGCACUGCUGAUCAGAAGAAUUAGUUACCGCGGGGAUAACAGCAUGAUCCUUUUUGAGAGUUCCUAUCGAAAAAAGGGGUUAUGACCUCGAUGUUGGACUAGGAUAUCCCGAGGGUGCAGAAGCCUUCGAUGGUUGGUCUGUUCGACCAUUAAAAUCCUACG
This 508-nucleotide ribosomal RNA is filed under the name Bittium latreillii. RNAcentral describes it as "partial 16S ribosomal RNA". It matches the Rfam family "Bacterial large subunit ribosomal RNA", at positions 1817 to 2600 of the family's 2925-position model. The record is from RNAcentral. Lineage: Eukaryota; Metazoa; Mollusca; Gastropoda; Cerithiidae.